Molecule: transfer RNA, 91 nt
Filed under: bacterium
Lineage: Bacteria
Description: tRNA-Ser
Rfam family: tRNA
About the family: Transfer RNA (tRNA) molecules are approximately 80 nucleotides in length.
Source: RNAcentral
GGAGGAGUGGCCGAGCGGUUGAAGGCGGCGGUCUUGAAAACCGCAGUCCGUUAACAGCGGACCGGGGGUUCGAAUCCCUCCUCCUCCGCCA